Molecule: ribosomal RNA, 274 nt
Filed under: uncultured bacterium
Lineage: Bacteria
Description: partial 16S ribosomal RNA
Rfam family: Bacterial small subunit ribosomal RNA
Source: RNAcentral
AUACGGAGGUGGCAAGCGUUGUUCGGAAUCACUGGGCGUAAAGGGCGCGCAGGCGGUUUGGUAAGUCAGAUGUGAAAGCCCACGGCUCAACCGUGGAAGUGCAUUUGAAACUGUCAGACUUGAGUACUAGAGGGGAAAGUGGAAUUCCCGGUGUAGAGGUGAAAUUCGUAGAUAUCGGGAGGAAUACCGGUGGCGAAGGCGACUUUCUGGCUAGAUACUGACGCUGAGGCGCGAAAGCGUGGGGAGCAAACAGGAUUAGAAACCCUAGUAGUCC